RNAcentral lists this unclassified non-coding RNA (3636 nucleotides) under Neodiprion pinetum (white pine sawfly). Its description in RNAcentral is "heterogeneous nuclear ribonucleoprotein L, transcript variant X3". Lineage: Eukaryota; Metazoa; Arthropoda; Insecta; Hymenoptera; Diprionidae. The record is from RNAcentral.
UUGGAUCCGCAGUUUCGGAGUGGCGAGCUCGCGUUUGUCAGUGAUUCGCAAACCGUUGGUGAACGCGUUCAACCCGUCCCGUCGCGCGUCGCGUAUAGAUUAUACAUAUUCGCGUCGAAGCUGUCCCAAAGUCCGCGUCCUGAGUUCCGAACAAUCCGUCGAGAAGUAGAGAAGCUCAGACUCGGCUUAAGGGCAGCUAGUAAACGAUCUGGGAAUGGCUUUCAACGGCGAUGGACCGCACUCGAAGAGGCAACGUCUCGAGGAGUCGGGGCACAGGAAUCACGAGUACGGAGGUUACGGAGAUGAGCCACGAAGAAAGAGGGAGGACAAUAACAAGCCCAACCACGUCCUGCUGUUCACAGUAAUCAACCCCGUUUAUCCAAUUACGGUGGAAGUUCUUCACACAAUAAGCGUACCGAGCGGUCAAGUACAGAGAAUCGUUAUAUUCAAGAAAAAUGGCGUACAAGCGAUGGUGGAGUUUGAUUCUGUCGAGUCAGCAACACGAGCGAAGGACACCCUCCAUGGCGCCGACAUCUACUCAGGUUGCUGCACCCUGAAGAUCGAUUACGCCAAGCCUACCAAACUGAACGUGUACAAGAACGACGCCGAGAGCUGGGACUACACAACACCGACGUUAGGCACCAGCGCCCACAAAAACGACACGGCGGGCAAUGGAAGGCCUGCGCCUCUACUGGCAGAGCCUAGAUAUGGUGCAGCACCGCAGCCAUAUGGUUCCACGCCGCAAGUCGCAUUCCCACCUGGGGCCACCCAUGAUCGUUAUGAAGAGGGUUUCAAUGGCCCUGCAACGUAUCCUGAACCAUACGUAGAACGAUAUGGGCUUAAGAAUGAUUUUGGUGGUCGAGAACCACUUCACCCGACUCCACCUCGUCCAGGAUACGUACCAACACUUGGACAGACACCGCCAUCCACCACACAAGGCUCCGUCAUGAUGGUUUACGGACUUCAACCUGAUAAAGUGAAUACAGACAAGCUAUUCAACUUGUUCUGUCUUUACGGGAACGUUACAAAGGUGAAAUUUCUGAAAACUAAAGAAGGCUGUGCGAUGAUUCAAAUGGGCGAUAGUAUAGGUGUUGAAAGGUGUCUACAGAAUUUAAACAAUGUUACAAUCGGUGCUGAGGGCAAACUGCAGCUUGGUUUUUCAAAACAGGCAUUUCUCUCCGAUGUCACAAAUCCUUACAGCCUGCCUGACAAAACGGCCAGCUUCAAAGAUUUUACAGGGAGCAAGAAUAACAGAUUCUUAAACCCGGCAAUGGCAAAUAAAAAUAGGAUACAGCCACCAUCGAAAAUAGUUCAUUUCUUCAAUACACCUCCGGAUCUCACUGAGGAGACGGUAAAUCGCGUAUUUAUGGAACGUGGCAUAGAAACGCCAACUACAGUUAAACUGUUCCCACUAAAGUCCGAACGUUCUUCAUCCGGACUUAUCGAAUUCAGCAGUGUUGGAGUAGCGGUAGCAGCAAUCAUGGAGUGCAACCAUACAGCACUUGAAAACAGCAAUGGAAAGUUUCCUUACAUCAUGAAGCUCUGCUUCUCAUCAUCGCGCACCAUACCGACCAACUUUCCACCAAGCAGUAGCGGAGUAGCGAGUAAUUCAUCUGGGAAUGGGCACAUCAAAAUGCAGCAGGAUUCCGAAUAGAACGGAGAAACCCAGGGCCAGCGUCAGCGCCAGCGCCAGCGCCCCUCUAUUGCCCUGCAUCCUAUAUGCGCCGCUCCCAUGCCGGCUCUGCAUCCCGCAACGAUUGCUCUUUCUCCGGUUCCUACCCCUCUGCCACCCGCAUGCCUUCUUAUCGCUGCGCCUGCCCUGUACCCUGCUGUCCCUCCACCUCCUCCUCCCCCGCUUCCGGCAUUUUGGCCAUACUGAAACCAGGUUCAUUAGUUGGUUAACGGGUGGAAAGAAAGUUGGCGGUAGAUUGGGGAAGUGAUGAUCUGCGAUGACAAGACUUUUGGGCGUGUGGAAGAAUUUGAUAUUUAGUCGAUGUUUAAACAAUUGACUUUUGGCAUAACUGUUGUGUGUAACAGUGCAUUGAGAUAAGCAUUAUACCUAGAUGCUUUAGAAUUUAUUCCAAAGGAUUACAUAUCUUAUAUUUAGGACUAUCGGCGGAACCCUUGCUUGUAAUUCGCUGCAUGAUCCAGGGAAGGUGUAGAAAAUUAGAAUAAUAUUAAUUUAGCCACAUAUCAAACGGGGACGUAACGACGGGAAAUAUUUAUUGAAAUUCAUCUGUCGCAGAUCAAACGAGAGACACGACACUUCCUUCUUUCCGUUCACCUGUAAUGAAAAUUUGGUGAAUAACGUCUUAUACAUGGCAGUGAUGUUGAAAGGAAUUGAUUCUUUGCGCUGGUUUAACCUUAUGUAAGAUAAAACUAAUCUGCUCUUAUGUUACAUAUUGAUAAUCUUCCCAUCAUUUAUGAAGCAAUUUUUCACAUCUCUAAAUGAGAUAACUUCGUAAAUGUGAAAUCACGGUAAUUGUCGAGUAACGGUUAUCAACAACUUAGGGACCUUUUUUUUUUUUGGGGGGGUUUUUCAAUUAAUUUUUGUAAAUUUUGGAACAAAUGGGUGUGGAUUUUCCUAAAGCAACUGUUGCAUGAAAAUACAAUAAACUUUUUCAAUAAAGAAAAAUGUGUUAUUGCAUGAAAUAUCGACAUUUUUCAACUAUAUCUCCAAAUAUUGGAGAAACCUCACCAAGCUUCAAACAAAUCUCAAGUGUCGAGAUGUGAAAGUUUGUCAAUGCCAGUGGAAGAAUUCGUUUGGAAAUAAAAAUCUUUUGCAUGGAUUUUAUAUCAUGGGACCUGAUAAAUAAUAAAAACAAAAGUAUAUAUAUCCGUCUAUGAAGGAGAUUAAUCGGGUUUGUCCGUUAUUAUUAGAUUCCUUUGAUAUAGCUUGGAACCGUUGUAUCAGUGCUCUCUAUGAUGCAAAAAGAUUGGGGAUUAGACGCGUUAGUAAUGAAAACGAAAGUUUUUUUUUUUAAAUUAAACAUUAAACAAGACUGCUGUUUAUAAGAAUGUCAAGUUGACCAGAAUCUCGCCACGACAUUGUUCCUAAGAAACGAAAACAAUCCCUCAGCUGUAGUGUUCAAGUUGCGAGGACUAGACUUGUUGCCGAAAACCUUGAUGAAAAAAAAGAACCACGGUUGUUACAUGACCUGAAAAUCCUGGAAACUUGGAAUUCUCAGGGAAUUACGCAGAUGUGCUGGAAAUUUUUAUUUUUCAAUAGAAGUUUACUGAUUUUUCUUUUUUUUUUUUAUAUACAGAAUGACUUCUUGUGUCGUUAUUUAAAAGGUAGUUUUCUCAACAUGUUCAAUAAGACCACUGCAUUCGUACAAGUUGAUCGUGAAUUCAAGUUCCGCAUACUGGAUAUUUUUAAUAUGAUUAUUGAUGGCAUAAAGUACGAUUUAAUGAAAAUUUUAAACAAUGCAAUUUUGAUAACAGGUUGAAACAAACAGUAGUUUUUCUCUUAUAAAAUUCGGCUUUAUUGACUAGAGCUCUAUGUAGCGCCGUAGAUGUUUAAGUGUUACAAGCAUGUGGUAUAAAUCUCAAACCAAGUGAAAUAACCAUGAUUGAGUUGUGAUUUCCAUAGAUUGAGUAUUUAUAUGAGUUGAAUAAAUUAAGUCACUUGAAUUA